RNAcentral lists this unclassified non-coding RNA (291 nucleotides) under soil metagenome. RNAcentral's name for it is "partial contains small subunit ribosomal RNA, internal transcribed spacer 1, and 5.8S ribosomal RNA". The record is from RNAcentral.
UUUCCGUAGGUGAACCUGCGGAAGGAUCAUUACAAAUCCAUUCACGUCUCAUUCCUUGGGACCACGUUGAAAUGUUCCCUAGUGUGUGUAUGUGUGUAUUGUUGUGGGGUCCCCUCGACCUUCAGCCGUUUCACCGGCCGUCCGUCCUGGUGUGGCACACACAUACACAAUACAAUUCAAUACACACUAGGCUUGUAAACUAGUAUCAUCUGUUGCUCAAUUGAAUCUUGCUUGAUUGUAAUGAUCAAGGUAAACAAAGUACAACUUAUAACAAUGGAUCUCUAGGCUCUU